UGAAAUUAAGGUUUGUCAAAUGACGUUGGUGAGAGCUGAGAAGUGAUCUCCUGCAAGUACUAGUAGGAGACGGUGACAGAAUUUAUAGAGGGAUGGGCUGGUGUAAAUGGCCAAUUUCGGAGGAUGAAUCUGGACACCUUAUUCUCUUUUUCCUUUUUACUUACUUAUUUUGCGCUUCUUAGCUUUAUAUAGCACGUCGCCGGCGCGGAGGCCUCUCAAACCCAUAAAAGAAAAGGGUUAAUAAAGUAAUAUGACAAGACACCGUAGAAUGGC
RNAcentral lists this unclassified non-coding RNA (273 nucleotides) under Hevea brasiliensis (rubber tree). Lineage: Eukaryota; Viridiplantae; Streptophyta; Magnoliopsida; Malpighiales; Euphorbiaceae. The record is from RNAcentral.